UUCUCUUCUCCUUUCUCUUUUUUUUUUCUUUUUUUCUUUUUCAAAAGGAGUAUGUAUUUAUAGACAUCCUUCUAUUUUUUUCAUUCAUUUUUUUUCUUUUCUAUUUUUCUUUUCUUUUUCUGCCAACUUCUGAAAUAUUACAAAUAUAAUUAUUCAACCCCACACAACUCCAAACAAGACUCUUCCAACCCUUUGAAUAAAGUGAUAACAUUG
This 213-nucleotide long non-coding RNA is filed under the name Lathyrus oleraceus (garden pea). RNAcentral describes it as "Pisum sativum (pea) long non-coding RNA (PSAT_LNC037859)". The record is from RNAcentral. Lineage: Eukaryota; Viridiplantae; Streptophyta; Magnoliopsida; Fabales; Fabaceae.